Molecule: non-coding RNA, 472 nt
Organism: Nomascus leucogenys (northern white-cheeked gibbon)
Lineage: Eukaryota; Metazoa; Chordata; Mammalia; Primates; Hylobatidae
Source: the annotation of a RefSeq genome assembly
AUGGGCUCUUGGACCCUCUGUGUGUCCCUUUAUAUCCUGGUAGCGACACACACAGAUGCUGGCAUUAACCAGUCGCCCAGGCAUAAAGUGACAGAGAUGGGACAAUCAAUAACUCUGAGAUGCAAACCUAUUUCAGGCCACAGUGAUCUUCUCUGGUACAGACAGACCUUGGUGCAGGGACUGGAAUUGCUGAAUUACUUCUACAGCCGGACCCUCGUAGAUGACUCAGGGAUGCCCAAGGAUCGAUUCUCAGCACAGAUGCCUGGAAUGAUACAUUCCAGAUGUAUCAUUCUCCACUCUGAGGAUCCAGCCCACGGAACCCAGGGACUCGGGCCUGUAUUUCUGUGCCAGCAGCUUUGCCACAGCACUGCAGAAUCUCCCCAUCUCUGUGCAGAAACCCUGGUGCUUCCUCUUCUCCCCACAGCUCUCAGCAGUCAUGAGUAAAGUCUUUCCUGCUCCUCUCUCACCAUAA